Non-coding RNA from Mycena vulgaris, 88 nucleotides. Lineage: Eukaryota; Fungi; Basidiomycota; Agaricomycetes; Agaricales; Mycenaceae. The record is from the annotation of a GenBank genome assembly.
GCCCCCAUGGACGAAUGGGACGCUGCCCGCAUAAUCUGCCACUGCGGUCCUGAUUUCAAUGGUGGAGGUUCGAAUCCUCCUGGGGGCA